This 486-nucleotide ribosomal RNA is filed under the name Lysiphlebus testaceipes. RNAcentral's name for it is "partial 16S ribosomal RNA". Lineage: Eukaryota; Metazoa; Arthropoda; Insecta; Hymenoptera; Braconidae. The record is from RNAcentral.
GUCUUAUUGAAAAUAAUUUUAAGUCUAAUCUGCCCAAUGAAAAUUUUAAUGGCUGCAGUAUCAAUAACUGUACAAAGGUAGCAUAAUAAUUAGUUUUUUAAUUAAAAACUAGAAUGAAAGAUUAAAUGAAAUAUAAACUUUAUAAAUAAAAUAAAAAUUAAAAUUAAAUUUUAAGUUAAAAUUCUUAAAUAUAAUUAAAAGACGAGAAGACCCUUUAGAAUUUUAUAUUAAUUUAAAUUAAAAUUAAAAUAUUAUUUAUAUAAAUUUAAACUAAUAUUUAAUUGGGGUAAUUUUUUAAUUUAAUAAACUUUAAAAUAAUAAAACAUUAAUUUAUGAAUUUAUAAACCUAAAAUUUAGAAUUUUAAAAUAAAUUACCUUAGGGAUAACAGCGUAAUUUUUUUUGAAAGUUCACAUUUAUAAAAAAGAUUGCGACCUCGAUGUUGAAUUAAGAUUAAAUUAAAAGCAAAAAUUUAAUAAUUUAAGUCU